This 2778-nucleotide ribosomal RNA is filed under the name Escherichia coli. RNAcentral's name for it is "bacterial LSU rRNA". Lineage: Bacteria; Pseudomonadati; Pseudomonadota; Gammaproteobacteria; Enterobacterales; Enterobacteriaceae. The record is from RNAcentral.
AGCGUACACGGUGGAUGCCCUGGCAGUCAGAGGCGAUGAAGGACGUGCUAAUCUGCGAUAAGCGUCGGUAAGGUGAUAUGAACCGUUAUAACCGGCGAUUUCCGAAUGGGGAAACCCAGUGUGUUUCGACACACUAUCAUUAACUGAAUCCAUAGGUUAAUGAGGCGAACCGGGGGAACUGAAACAUCUAAGUACCCCGAGGAAAAGAAAUCAACCGAGAUUCCCCCAGUAGCGGCGAGCGAACGGGGAGCAGCCCAGAGCCUGAAUCAGUGUGUGUGUUAGUGGAAGCGUCUGGAAAGGCGCGCGAUACAGGGUGACAGCCCCGUACACAAAAAUGCACAUGCUGUGAGCUCGAUGAGUAGGGCGGGACACGUGGUAUCCUGUCUGAAUAUGGGGGGACCAUCCUCCAAGGCUAAAUACUCCUGACUGACCGAUAGUGAACCAGUACCGUGAGGGAAAGGCGAAAAGAACCCCGGCGAGGGGAGUGAAAAAGAACCUGAAACCGUGUACGUACAAGCAGUGGGAGCACGCUUAGGCGUGUGACUGCGUACCUUUUGUAUAAUGGGUCAGCGACUUAUAUUCUGUAGCAAGGUUAACCGAAUAGGGGAGCCGAAGGGAAACCGAGUCUUAACUGGGCGUUAAGUUGCAGGGUAUAGACCCGAAACCCGGUGAUCUAGCCAUGGGCAGGUUGAAGGUUGGGUAACACUAACUGGAGGACCGAACCGACUAAUGUUGAAAAAUUAGCGGAUGACUUGUGGCUGGGGGUGAAAGGCCAAUCAAACCGGGAGAUAGCUGGUUCUCCCCGAAAGCUAUUUAGGUAGCGCCUCGUGAAUUCAUCUCCGGGGGUAGAGCACUGUUUCGGCAAGGGGGUCAUCCCGACUUACCAACCCGAUGCAAACUGCGAAUACCGGAGAAUGUUAUCACGGGAGRCACACGGCGGGUGCUAACGUCCGUCGUGAAGAGGGAAACAACCCAGACCGCCAGCUAAGGUCCCAAAGUCAUGGUUAAGUGGGAAACGAUGUGGGAAGGCCCAGACAGCCAGGAUGUUGGCUUAGAAGCAGCCAUCAUUUAAAGAAAGCGUAAUAGCUCACUGGUCGAGUCGGCCUGCGCGGAAGAUGUAACGGGGCUAAACCAUGCACCGAAGCUGCGGCAGCGACGCUGAUGCGUUGUUGGGUAGGGGAGCGUUCUGUAAGCCUGCGAAGGUGUGCUGUGAGGCAUGCUGGAGGUAUCAGAAGUGCGAAUGCUGACAUAAGUAACGAUAAAGCGGGUGAAAAGCCCGCUCGCCGGAAGACCAAGGGUUCCUGUCCAACGUUAAUCGGGGCAGGGUGAGUCGACCCCUAAGGCGAGGCCGAAAGGCGUAGUCGAUGGGAAACAGGUUAAUAUUCCUGUACUUGGUGUUACUGCGAAGGGGGGACGGAGAAGGCUAUGUUGGCCGGGCGACGGUUGUCCCGGUUUAAGCGUGUAGGCUGGUUUUCCAGGCAAAUCCGGAAAAUCAAGGCUGAGGCGUGAUGACGAGGCACUACGGUGCUGAAGCAACAAAUGCCCUGCUUCCAGGAAAAGCCUCUAAGCAUCAGGUAACAUCAAAUCGUACCCCAAACCGACACAGGUGGUCAGGUAGAGAAUACCAAGGCGCUUGAGAGAACUCGGGUGAAGGAACUAGGCAAAAUGGUGCCGUAACUUCGGGAGAAGGCACGCUGAUAUGUAGGUGAAGUCCCUCGCGGAUGGAGCUGAAAUCAGUCGAAGAUACCAGCUGGCUGCAACUGUUUAUUAAAAACACAGCACUGUGCAAACACGAAAGUGGACGUAUACGGUGUGACGCCUGCCCGGUGCCGGAAGGUUAAUUGAUGGGGUYAGCCGCAAGGCGAAGCUCUUGAUCGAAGCCCCGGUAAACGGCGGCCGUAACUAUAACGGUCCUAAGGUAGCGAAAUUCCUUGUCGGGUAAGUUCCGACCUGCACGAAUGGCGUAAUGAUGGCCAGGCUGUCUCCACCCGAGACUCAGUGAAAUUGAACUCGCUGUGAAGAUGCAGUGUACCCGCGGCAAGACGGAAAGACCCCGUGAACCUUUACUAUAGCUUGACACUGAACAUUGAGCCUUGAUGUGUAGGAUAGGUGGGAGGCUUGGAAGUGUGGACGCCAGUCUGCAUGGAGCCGACCUUGAAAUACCACCCUUUAAUGUUUGAUGUUCUAACGUUGACCCGUAAUCCGGGUUGCGGACAGUGUCUGGUGGGUAGUUUGACUGGGGCGGUCUCCUCCUAAAGAGUAACGGAGGAGCACGAAGGUUGGCUAAUCCUGGUCGGACAUCAGGAGGUUAGUGCAAUGGCAUAAGCCAGCUUGACUGCGAGCGUGACGGCGCGAGCAGGUGCGAAAGCAGGUCAUAGUGAUCCGGUGGUUCUGAAUGGAAGGGCCAUCGCUCAACGGAUAAAAGGUACUCCGGGGAUAACAGGCUGAUACCGCCCAAGAGUUCAUAUCGACGGCGGUGUUUGGCACCUCGAUGUCGGCUCAUCACAUCCUGGGGCUGAAGUAGGUCCCAAGGGUAUGGCUGUUCGCCAUUUAAAGUGGUACGCGAGCUGGGUUUAGAACGUCGUGAGACAGUUCGGUCCCUAUCUGCCGUGGGCGCUGGAGAACUGAGGGGGGCUGCUCCUAGUACGGUGGACGCAUCACUGGUGUUCGGGUUGUCAUGCCAAUGGCACUGCCCGGUAGCUAAAUGCGGAAGAGAUAAGUGCUGAAAGCAUCUAAGCACGAAACUUGCCCCGAGAUGAGUUCUCCCUGACUCCUUGA